GGGAACUGACCUACCUUCUUGUCUGGGAACGGUAUCACAGCAGCAUCCUCAAUCUCAGGAUGAGUAAGCAGCAGGGCUUCCAGCUCAGCCGGAGCCACCUGGUAUCCUUUGUACUUGAUGAGCUCCUUGAGUCGGUCCACAACGAAGAGGUAUCCUUCAUCGUCAAUGUAGCAUAGAUCCCCUGUCCUCAGCCAUCCGUCUUUCAUCAGAGUCGAUCUUGUAGCCUCCUCGUUGUUAAAAUAACCUUUCAUGACAUAAGGCCCACGGAUCCACAACUCCCCCGUCUUGUUCACCGGCAGCGCCGCCCCACUCUCCGUAUCAACAAUCCUCGCCUCGGUGUUCGGUGACAACAACCCCGCCGUCCCAUACCGCCG
Molecule: unclassified non-coding RNA, 374 nt
Filed under: Hevea brasiliensis (rubber tree)
Lineage: Eukaryota; Viridiplantae; Streptophyta; Magnoliopsida; Malpighiales; Euphorbiaceae
Source: RNAcentral